RNAcentral lists this ribosomal RNA (235 nucleotides) under uncultured bacterium. RNAcentral's name for it is "partial 16S ribosomal RNA". It matches the Rfam family "Bacterial small subunit ribosomal RNA", at positions 99 to 334 of the family's 1533-position model. The record is from RNAcentral.
CGCACGGGUGAGUAACACGUAUCCAACCUGCCGUCUACUCUUGGACAGCCUUCUGAAAGGAAGAUUAAUACAAGAUGGCAUCAUGAGUCCGCAUGUUCACAUGAUUAAAGGUAUUCCGGUAGACGAUGGGGAUGCGUUCCAUUAGAUAGUAGGCGGAGUAACGGCCCACCUAGUCUUCGAUGGAUAGGGGUUCUGAGAGGAAGGUCCCCCACAUUGGAACUGAGACACGGUCCAA